CCUACGGGUGACAGCAGUGAGGAAUAUUGGUCAAUGGGCGAGAGCCUGAACCAGCCAAGCCGCGUGAAGGAUGACGGCCCUACGGGUUGUAAACUUCUUUUGUCAGGGAGCAAUUGGGUCCACGCGUGGGCUCAGCGAGAGUACCUGAAGAAAAAGCAUCGGCAAACUCCGUGCCAGCAGCCGCGCUAAUACGGAGGAUGAGAGCGUUAUCCGGAUUUAUUGGGUUUAAGGGGUGCGUAGGCGGAAUAUCAAGUCAGCGGUAAAAAUUCGGGGCUCAACCCCGUCGUGCCGUUGAAACUGGUGUUCUUGAGUGGGCGAGAGGUAUGCGGAAUGCGUGGUGUAGCGGUGAAAUGCAUAGAUAUCACGCAGAACUCCGAUUGCGAAGGCAGCAUACCGGCGCGCAACUGACGCUGAGGCACGAAAGCGUGGGUAUCGAACAGGAUUAGAUACCCGGGUAGUC
RNAcentral lists this ribosomal RNA (460 nucleotides) under uncultured bacterium. RNAcentral's name for it is "partial 16S ribosomal RNA". It matches the Rfam family "Bacterial small subunit ribosomal RNA", at positions 338 to 795 of the family's 1533-position model. The record is from RNAcentral.